RNAcentral lists this ribosomal RNA (589 nucleotides) under uncultured bacterium. RNAcentral's name for it is "partial 16S ribosomal RNA". It matches the Rfam family "Bacterial small subunit ribosomal RNA", at positions 355 to 1375 of the family's 1533-position model. The record is from RNAcentral.
UGGGGAAUUUUGGACAAUGGGCGAAAGCCUGAUCCAGCAAUGCCGCAUGUGUGAAGAAGGCCUUCGGGUUGUAAAGCACUUUUGUCCGGAAAGAAAUCCUUGGCUCUAAUACAGUCGGGGGAUGACGGUACCGGAAGAAUAAGCACCGGCUAACUACGUGCCAGCAGCCGCGGUAAUACGUAGGGUGCAAGCGUUAAUCGGAAUUACUGGGCGUAAAGCGUGCGCAGGCGGUUUGCUAAGACCGAUGUGAAAUCCCCGGGCUCAACCUGGGAACUGCAUUGGUGACUGGGCAGGCUAGAGUAUGGCAGAGGGGGGUAGAAUUCCACGUGUAGCAGUGAAAUGCGUAGAGAUGUGGAGGAAUACCGAUGGCGAAGGCAGCCCCCUGGGCCAAGUACUGACGCUCAUGCACGAAAGCGUGGGGGAGCAAACAGGAUUAGAUACCCCUGGUAGUCCACGCCCUAAACGAUGUCAACUAGUUGUUGGGGAUUCAUUUCCUUAGUAACGUAGCUAACGCGUGAAGUUGACCGCCUGGGGAGUACGGUCGCAAGAUUAAAACUCAAAUGAAUUGACGGGGUCAUAGCUGUUUCCU